AUUGAACGCUGGCGGCAGGCUUAACACAUGCAAGUCGAACGAUGAAGACAUAGCUUGCUAUAUCGGAUUAGUGGCGGACGGGUGAGUAACACUUAGGAAUCUACCUUUUAGCGGGGGAUAGCUCGGGGAAACUCGAAUUAAUACCGCAUAAUUUCUACGGAAUAAAGAGGGCUUUUAGCUCUCACUAGAAGAUGAGCCUAAGUAAGAUUAGCUAGUUGGUGGGGUAAAAGCCUACCAAGGCGACGAUCUUUAGCUGGUCUGAGAGGAUGAUCAGCCACACUGGGACUGAGACACGGCCCAGACUCCUACGGGAGGCAGCAGUGGGGAAUAUUGGACAAUGGGGGCAACCCUGAUCCAGCCAUGCCGCGUGUGUGAAGAAGGCCUUUUGGUUGUAAAGCACUUUAAGCAGUGAAGAAGACCUAUUGGUUAACACCCAAUAGCGAUGACAUUAACUGCAGAAUAAGCACCGGCUAACUCUGUGCCAGCAGCCGCGGUAAUACAGAGGGUGCAAGCGUUAAUCGGAAUUACUGGGCGUAAAGCGAGCGUAGGUGGUUAAAUAAGUCAGAUGUGAAAGCCCUGGGCUCAACCUAGGAACGGCAUCUGAAACUAUUUAACUAGAGUAGGUGAGAGGGAAGUAGAAUUUCAGGUGUAGCGGUGAAAUGCGUAGAGAUCUGAAGGAAUACCGAUGGCGAAGGCAGCUUCCUGGCAUCAUACUGACACUGAGGCUCGAAAGCGUGGGUAGCAAACAGG
RNAcentral lists this ribosomal RNA (750 nucleotides) under uncultured bacterium. RNAcentral describes it as "bacterial SSU rRNA". It matches the Rfam family "Bacterial small subunit ribosomal RNA", at positions 28 to 776 of the family's 1533-position model. The record is from RNAcentral.